RNAcentral lists this ribosomal RNA (253 nucleotides) under uncultured bacterium. Its description in RNAcentral is "partial 16S ribosomal RNA". It matches the Rfam family "Bacterial small subunit ribosomal RNA", at positions 524 to 776 of the family's 1533-position model. The record is from RNAcentral.
UACGUAUGGUGCAAGCGUUAUCCGGAUUUACUGGGUGUAAAGGGAGCGUAGGCGGCGCGUUAAGUCUGAUGUGAAAACCCGAGGCUCAACCACGGGAGUGCAUUGGAAACUGGCGUGCUGGAGUGCCGGAGAGGUAAGCGGAAUUCCUAGUGUAGCGGUGAAAUGUGUAGAUAUUAGGAGGAACACCAGUGGCGAAGGCGGCUUACUGGACGGCAACUGACGCUGAGGCUCGAAAGCGUGGGGAGCAAACAGG